This 253-nucleotide ribosomal RNA is filed under the name uncultured bacterium. RNAcentral's name for it is "partial 16S ribosomal RNA". It matches the Rfam family "Bacterial small subunit ribosomal RNA", at positions 524 to 776 of the family's 1533-position model. The record is from RNAcentral.
GACAGAGGGUGCGAACGUUGCUCGGAAUUACUGGGCGUAAAGCGCGUGUAGGCGGGUGAUCAAGUCAGGUGUGAAAUCCCUGGGCUCAACCCAGGAACUGCACUUGAAACUGGUUGCCUUGAGUGUUGGAGAGGGAAGCGGAAUUCCUGGUGUAGAGGUGAAAUUCGUAGAUAUCAGGAGGAACACCGGUGGCGAAGGCGGCUUCCUGGACAACUACUGACGCUGAGACGCGGAAGCGUGGGGAUCAAACAGG